GGCACUAUAGCCAAGUGGUUACGGCGACAGUUUCGAAUCAGGAUUUGGUCCUGCCUAAGCUGUUCCUCUUUGAGGGCGCAAGUUCAAAUCUUGCUGGUGUCG
Pholiota conissans is the source of this 102-nucleotide non-coding RNA. The record is from the annotation of a GenBank genome assembly. Lineage: Eukaryota; Fungi; Basidiomycota; Agaricomycetes; Agaricales; Strophariaceae.